UCAAACCAGCCCAACAAAAUUAGCCCAAAAAAUGUAAUUUAUCGAACUUCCAAUUUUGCCCUUAACGUCAUGGCUUUCCUGUUUGUUUGGUCUGUUUCGCGAGAGAGGAAAGGUAUACAGAUCUCAAAUUUAUUUCUCCAUGAUGUUUGUAAUUUUCUCUAUGAUGUAUAUAGAUCUUCUGCUCCAUCAAAUCAACGAGCUCCCAUUUUACUUGAUUCUUUGGUUUUCCAACUGACCAGUGGAAACGUGAUGCAUGUGAUGAACAGAUGCAGAUUGCGCUUCGGAAAGAAGCGGAGAUGUCGUUGUACGACCUAGAUGACACGCCCUUACCGAAUCUACCUUCCGCCGAAGAAACCUAGCGGAGUUGGAUCAUGGUCGCCGUUCCUAAGGUGCAAGAAUUGCAAGGGGGGGCUUCUGGGCAAUCGGACGCUUACCUGCGUCUUCUGAUUGCAAUGACAUCCCUCCCGACCCCAUCAAUUUCCAGGAUACUUUUGGGUAGAUAGAUAUGUGACUCGAUUUUCUAUCUUUUGUUUGAUUGAUGAGAAAAUUGAGAUUAAUUAAGAUGGGAAAUAAAAGCUUUCUCUA
Pyrus x bretschneideri (Chinese white pear) is the source of this 585-nucleotide long non-coding RNA. RefSeq lists it as uncharacterized. Lineage: Eukaryota; Viridiplantae; Streptophyta; Magnoliopsida; Rosales; Rosaceae. The transcript has 2 exons. The record is from RefSeq and is a predicted model, not a curated record.